RNAcentral lists this ribosomal RNA (255 nucleotides) under uncultured bacterium. Its description in RNAcentral is "partial 16S ribosomal RNA". It matches the Rfam family "Bacterial small subunit ribosomal RNA", at positions 793 to 1055 of the family's 1533-position model. The record is from RNAcentral.
GUCCACGCCGUAAACGAUGGAUACUAGCUGUUGGGAGUAAUCUCAGUGGCUAAGCGAAAGUGAUAAGUAUCCCACCUGGGGAGUACGAACGCAAGUUUGAAACUCAAAGGAAUUGACGGGGGCCCGCACAAGCGGUGGAGCAUGUGGUUUAAUUCGAUGAUACGCGAGGAACCUUACCAAGGCUUAAAUGUAGAUUGACCGGUUUGGAAACAGACCCUUCGCAAGACAAUUUACAAGGUGCUGCAUGGUUGUCGU